RNAcentral lists this transfer RNA (72 nucleotides) under Camelus bactrianus (Bactrian camel). It matches the Rfam family "tRNA". From Rfam's summary of the family: Transfer RNA (tRNA) molecules are approximately 80 nucleotides in length. Their secondary structure includes four short double-helical elements and three loops (D, anti-codon, and T loops). Further hydrogen bonds mediate the characteristic L-shaped molecular structure. tRNAs have two regions of fundamental functional importance: the anti-codon, which is responsible for specific mRNA codon recognition, and the 3' end, to which the tRNAs corresponding amino acid is attached (by aminoacyl-tRNA synthetases). tRNAs cope with the degeneracy of the genetic code in two manners: having more than one tRNA (with a specific anti-codon) for a particular amino acid; and 'wobble' base-pairing, i.e. permitting non-standard base-pairing at the 3rd anti-codon position. Lineage: Eukaryota; Metazoa; Chordata; Mammalia; Artiodactyla; Camelidae. RNAcentral also lists the same sequence under 1 other name. The record is from Rfam by way of RNAcentral.
GAGGGCAUAGCUCAGUGGUAGAGUGUGUGCUUAGCAUGCACCAGAUCCUGGGCUCUAUCCCCGGUACCUCCA